RNAcentral lists this ribosomal RNA (497 nucleotides) under uncultured bacterium. Its description in RNAcentral is "partial 16S ribosomal RNA". It matches the Rfam family "Bacterial small subunit ribosomal RNA", at positions 28 to 507 of the family's 1533-position model. The record is from RNAcentral.
GAGGAAAGCGGGCGGCGUGCCUAAUACAUGCAAGUCGAGCGAACAGAUGAGGAGCUUGCUCCUCUGACGUUAGCGGCGGACGGGUGAGUAACACGUGGAUAACCUACCUAUAAGACUGGGAUAACUUCGGGAAACCGGAGCUAAUACCGGAUAAUAUAUUGAACCGCAUGGUUCAAUAGUGAAAGACGGUUUUGCUGUCACUUAUAGAUGGAUCCGCGCCGCAUUAGCUAGUUGGUAAGGUAACGGCUUACCAAGGCAACGAUGCGUAGCCGACCUGAGAGGGUGAUCGGCCACACUGGAACUGAGACACGGUCCAGACUCCUACGGGAGGCAGCAGUAGGGAAUCUUCCGCAAUGGGCGAAAGCCUGACGGAGCAACGCCGCGUGAGUGAUGAAGGUCUUCGGAUCGUAAAACUCUGUUAUUAGGGAAGAACAAAUGUGUAAGUAACUAUGCACGUCUUGACGGUACCUAAUCAGAAAGCCACGGCUAACUACGUG